UACGGAGGGAGCUAGCGUUGUUCGGAAUUACUGGGCGUAAAGCGCACGUAGGCGGCUUUGUAAGUUAGAGGUGAAAGCCCGGGGCUCAACUCCGGAAUUGCCUUUAAGACUGCAUCGCUAGAAUCCGGGAGAGGUGAGUGGAAUUCCGAGUGUAGAGGUGAAAUUCGUAGAUAUUCGGAAGAACACCAGUGGCGAAGGCGGCUCACUGGACCGGUAUUGACGCUGAGGUGCGAAAGCGUGGGGAGCAAACAGG
Molecule: ribosomal RNA, 253 nt
Filed under: uncultured bacterium
Lineage: Bacteria
Description: partial 16S ribosomal RNA
Rfam family: Bacterial small subunit ribosomal RNA
Source: RNAcentral